RNAcentral lists this non-coding RNA (21 nucleotides) under Caenorhabditis elegans. The record is from RNAcentral. Lineage: Eukaryota; Metazoa; Nematoda; Chromadorea; Rhabditida; Rhabditidae.
UUAUAAACCUUUACAACCUUG